RNAcentral lists this ribosomal RNA (640 nucleotides) under uncultured Lachnospiraceae bacterium. RNAcentral's name for it is "bacterial SSU rRNA". It matches the Rfam family "Bacterial small subunit ribosomal RNA", at positions 91 to 749 of the family's 1533-position model. Lineage: Bacteria; Bacillati; Bacillota; Clostridia; Lachnospirales; Lachnospiraceae. The record is from RNAcentral.
UCGAGUGGCGGACGGGUGAGUAACGCGUGGGUAACCUGCCUCAUACAGGGGAAUAACAGUUGGAAACGGCUGCUAAAACCGCAUAAGCGCACAGUACCGCAUGGUACCGUGUGAAAAACUCCGGUGGUAUGAGAUGGACCCGCGUCUGAUUAGCUGGUUGGUGAGGUAAUGGCCCACCAAGGCGACGAUCAGUAGCCGGCCUGAGAGGGUGAACGGCCACAUUGGGACUGAGACACGGCCCAAACUCCUACGGGAGGUAGCAGUGGGGAAUAUUGCACAAUGGGGGAAACCCUGAUGCAGCGACGCCGCGUGAGUGAAGAAGUAUUUCGGUAUGUAAGGCUCUAUCAGCAGGGAAGAAGAAAGACGGUACCUGACUAAGAAGCACCGGCUAAAUACGUGCCAGCAGCCGCGGUAAUACGUAUGGUGCAAGCGUUAUCCGGAUUUACUGGGUGUAAAGGGUGCGUAGGUGGUGAGACAAGUCUGAAGUGAAAAUCCGGGGCUUAACCCCGGAACUGCUUUGGAAACUGCCUGACUGGAGUACAGGAGAGGUAAGUGGAAUUCCUAGUGUAGCGGUGAAAUGCGUAGAUAUUAGGAGGAACACCAGUGGCGAAAGCGACUUACUGGACGGUACUGACACUGA